Molecule: small nucleolar RNA, 74 nt
Organism: Pipistrellus kuhlii (Kuhl's pipistrelle)
Lineage: Eukaryota; Metazoa; Chordata; Mammalia; Chiroptera; Vespertilionidae
Product: small nucleolar RNA SNORD113/SNORD114 family
Exons: 1
Source: RefSeq, a predicted model, not a curated record
UGGAUCAGAGGUGACCCCUGGUGGCAUGGUGGCAUGGAUGAUGGCAACUAUGUGUCUGGAACUCUGGGGUCCAA